RNAcentral lists this ribosomal RNA (490 nucleotides) under uncultured bacterium. RNAcentral's name for it is "partial 16S ribosomal RNA". It matches the Rfam family "Bacterial small subunit ribosomal RNA", at positions 30 to 507 of the family's 1533-position model. The record is from RNAcentral.
AUUGAACGCUGGCGGCAGGCCUAACACAUGCGAGUCGAACGGUAACAGGAAGCAGCUUGCUGCUUUGCUGACGAGUCGCGGACGGGUGAGUAAUGUCUGGGAAACUGCCCGAUGGAGGGGGAUAACUACUGGAAACGGUAGCUAAUACCGCAUAACGUCGCAAGACCAAAGAGGGGGACCUUAGGGCCUCUUGCCAUCGGAUGUGCCCAGAUGGGAUUAGCUAGUAGGUGGGGUAACGGCUCACCUAGGCGACGAUCCCUAGCUGGUCUGAGAGGAUGACCAGCCACACUGGAACUGAGACACGGUCCAGACUCCUACGGGAGGCAGCAGUGGGGAAUAUUGCACAAUGGGCGCAAGCCUGAUGCAGCCAUGCCGCGUGUAUGAAGAAGGCCUUCGGGUUGUAAAGUACUUUCAGCGGGGAGGAAGGGAGUAAAGUUAAUACCUUUGCUCAUUGACGUUACCCGCAGAAGAAGCACCGGCUAACUCCGUG